Molecule: ribosomal RNA, 257 nt
Filed under: uncultured bacterium
Lineage: Bacteria
Description: partial small subunit ribosomal RNA
Rfam family: Bacterial small subunit ribosomal RNA
Source: RNAcentral
AGAAUCAACGCUGGCGGCGUGCCUAACACAUGCAAGUCGAACGAGAAAGUGGAGCAAUCCAUGAGUAAAGUGGCGACCGGGUGAGUAACACGUGACUAACCUACCUUCGAGUGGGGAUAACCUCGGGAAACCGGGCUAAUACCGCAUAAAAUCUUUGGAUCGGAAGAACUGGAGAUCAAUGGAGCAAUUCGCGUUGGAAGAGGGGGUCGCGGCUGAUUAGCUAGUUGGCGGGGUAAUGGCCCACCAAGGCUUUGACU